This 772-nucleotide ribosomal RNA is filed under the name uncultured bacterium. RNAcentral's name for it is "bacterial SSU rRNA". It matches the Rfam family "Bacterial small subunit ribosomal RNA", at positions 59 to 841 of the family's 1533-position model. The record is from RNAcentral.
CAGUCGAACGGAGUUACGAUGAAACCUAGUGAUUCGUAACUUAGUGGCGGACGUGUGAGUAACGCGUGGAUAACCUGCCUUGCACUGGGGGAUAACACUUAGAAAUAGGUGCUAAUACCGCAUAAGCGCACGGAGCCGCAUGGCUCAGUGUGAAAAACUCCGGUGGUGUAAGAUGGAUCCGCGUCUGAUUAGCUGGUUGGCGGGGUAGAAGCCCACCAAGGCGACGAUCAGUAGCCGGCCUGAGAGGGUGAACGGCCACAUUGGGACUGAGACACGGCCCAAACUCCUACGGGAGGCAGCAGUGGGGAAUAUUGCACAAUGGGGGAAACCCUGAUGCAGCAACGCCGCGUGAGUGAAGAAGUCAUUCGUGAUGUAAAGCUCUAUCAGCAGGGAAGAAAAUGACGGUACCUGAGUAAGAAGCCCCGGCUAACUACGUGCCAGCAGCCGCGGUAAUACGUAGGGGGCAAGCGUUAUCCGGAUUUACUGGGUGUAAAGGGAGCGUAGACGGCCAGACAAGUCUGAAGUGAAAAUCCAGCGCUUAACGUUGGAAGUGCUUUGGAAACUGCCGGGCUAGAGUGCAGGAGGGGCAGGCGGAAUUCCUAGUGUAGCGGUGAAAUGCGUAGAUAUUAGGAGGAACACCAGUGGCGAAGGCGGCCUGCUGGACUGCAACUGACGUUGAGGCUCGAAGGCGUGGGGAGCAAACAGGAUUAGAUACCCUGGUAGUCCACGCGGUAAACGAUGAUUACUAGGUGUCGGGGGGCUAGAGCCCUUC